AGAGUUUGAUCCUGGCUCAGAACGAACGCUGGCGGCGUGCUUAACACAUGCAAGUCGAACGUGAAAUCCGCUUUCGGGCGGAGAGUAAAGUGGCGCACGGGUGAGUAACGCGUGGAUAAUCUACCCCGAGGCCUGGGAUAACCCGCCGAAAGGCGGGCUAAUACCGGAUAAUGUCCCACUACAUAAGUAGUGUGACCAUAGGAGGCUCUGCUUCCGCCACGGGAUGAGUCCGCGUACCAUUAGCUAGUUGGUAGGGUAAAGGCCUACCAAGGCUACGAUGGUUAGCUGGUCUGAGAGGACGAUCAGCCACACUGGAACUGAGACACGGUCCAGACUCCUACGGGAGGCAGCAGUGGGGAAUAUUGCGCAAUGGGGGAAACCCUGACGCAGCGACGCCGCGUGAGCGAUGAAGGCCUUCGGGUCGUAAAGCUCUGUCAGGUGGGAAGAACCACUCGCAGGUUAAUACCCUGCGGGUCUGACGGUACCACCAGAGGAAGCACCGGCUAACUCCGUGCCAGCAGCCGCGGUAACACGGAGGGUGCAAGCGUUGUUCGGAAUCACUGGGCGUAAAGGACGCGCAGGCGGUCUGGUAAGUCAGAAGUGAAAUCCGUCGGCUCAACCGACGAACGGCUUCUGAUACUGCCAGACUUGAGUACGGGAGAGGAAAGCGGAAUUCCCAGUGUAGAGGUGAAAUUCGUAGAUAUUGGGAAGAACACCGGUGGCGAAGGCGGCUUUCUGGACCGAUACUGACGCUGAGGCGUGAAAGCGUGGGGAGCAAACAGGAUUAGAUACCCUGGUAGUCCACGCUGUAAACGGUGAGUACUAGGUGUAGGGGGUACCGACCCCCCCUGUGCCGCAGCUAACGCACUAAGUACUCCGCCUGGGAACUACGGCCGCAAGGCUAAAACUCAAAGGAAUUGAUGG
RNAcentral lists this ribosomal RNA (924 nucleotides) under uncultured bacterium. Its description in RNAcentral is "bacterial SSU rRNA". It matches the Rfam family "Bacterial small subunit ribosomal RNA", at positions 8 to 916 of the family's 1533-position model. The record is from RNAcentral.